RNAcentral lists this ribosomal RNA (405 nucleotides) under uncultured bacterium. Its description in RNAcentral is "bacterial SSU rRNA". It matches the Rfam family "Bacterial small subunit ribosomal RNA", at positions 355 to 776 of the family's 1533-position model. The record is from RNAcentral.
UAGGGAAUAUUGCUUAAUGGGCGAAAGCCUGAAGCAGCAACGCCGCGUGAACGAAGAAGGCCUUCGGGUCGUAAAGUUCUUUUACGUGGGAUGAGGAAGGACAGUACCACGAGAAUAAGUCUCGGCUAACUACGUGCCAGCAGCCGCGGUAAAACGUAGGAGACGAGCGUUAUCCGGAUUUACUGGGCGUAAAGCGCGUGUAGGAGGCGCUACAAGUUGGAUGUGAAAGCUCCCGGCUUAACUGGGAGAGGUCGUUCAAGACUGUAGGGCUAGAGUGAGGCAAAGGUAGAUGGAACUCCGGGAGUAGUGGUGAAAUGCGUAGAUAUCCGGAAGAACACCAGAGGCGAAAGCGAUCUACUGGGCCUAAACUGACACUGAGACGCGAAAGCCAGGGUAGCAAACGGG